GUUGAUUUAGCUCAGAAGGUAGAGCACUACCUUGAAGCGGUAGGUUGCGGUGGUUCGAUUCCAUCAAUCAGCA
RNAcentral lists this transfer RNA (73 nucleotides) under Limosilactobacillus reuteri. RNAcentral describes it as "tRNA-Phe". It matches the Rfam family "tRNA". From Rfam's summary of the family: Transfer RNA (tRNA) molecules are approximately 80 nucleotides in length. The record is from RNAcentral. RNAcentral also lists the same sequence under 2 other names. Lineage: Bacteria; Bacillati; Bacillota; Bacilli; Lactobacillales; Lactobacillaceae.